CUUAAUCAUUUAUUUUUAUUAUUUGACAUUUGACAUUUUUUUACCUUUUUUAUGAUGGUUGAUGACAUUCUACUUGGUCAUGGUCAUUGAUUUUUAGGGUUGAUAAAAAUCUUCAAUAUUUCAAACAUGUCAAUGAAUGAUCAAUAGAUCAUUCAUGACACUUUGAGGUGUUGAUAGGUUGCUCUAUUUAACCAUGUUUUGA
RNAcentral lists this long non-coding RNA (202 nucleotides) under Lathyrus oleraceus (garden pea). Its description in RNAcentral is "Pisum sativum (pea) long non-coding RNA (PSAT_LNC020906)". Lineage: Eukaryota; Viridiplantae; Streptophyta; Magnoliopsida; Fabales; Fabaceae. The record is from RNAcentral.